This 1035-nucleotide long non-coding RNA is filed under the name Strigops habroptila (Kakapo). Its description in RNAcentral is "lncRNA (ENSSHBG00005010072.1)". Lineage: Eukaryota; Metazoa; Chordata; Aves; Psittaciformes; Psittacidae. The record is from RNAcentral.
UCUUCUUUUCUUUUGUCUCGUGAAAACACAGGGUGCAACUGACCAGCAAAUUCUGUGUGUGUGUAAGUUCUGUUGCAUUUGAAGGUACAUCUGGCUUGGUAGUCAAAUGAGGAAGGCGUUUCACUUCACUGUCAUUGUAGGAAUAGGGCACAAGAUCUUUCCUGUUACAAAUCUAGUUGAAAAAGUUUUCCUGUCACCAUGUUUUUUACUGUAUUUGAUGUACAUUGUGUGACUCUGCUGCCUAUGAAGUUUUUUGCCAUGCGAGUCGGAUGACUUAGUUCUUUAUAUGUUAAAUUUUAGAAACUUACAGAUCUGUUUUUAUACUAAAGAACAAGGUUAGUUACACCGCCCGUCACUUGUAAACUGUUCUAAAUUCCAGCUCCCUGUUGGAGAUCAGCUUGUCAACAUUGCCGUUCAUUUCAGAGUAAAAGUACGUUUCCUUGAACAAAUGACCCGAUGAUUGUAAUCCCAGAGGUAGCGAGAAGACAAAGACAGAGCACGUUUCCUUCUUCCCAAGCCGUGAAGGCUUAUGUGAAAUGGUAAAAAAGACUUGGUGGAAAGCGCAUAGGUAGAACGUAGGGUGCUGUUGCCGAGCAACUUCCUCUUCAGUGCCUGAGGAGGAAGGUGAGAAUAUAGAUGUAAACCAGUGACAUAGACUUGUGUAAGCUGGGCUAGGAGGAGAGGUUCCCUCCUUCAGCUGGAGAUUGUGCUGUGUGUCAUUGUACGUGCAUGAAAUACACUGUGCCGCGCUUUCUGGAGUUGGUUUGGACGGUUGGGUUGCCUUUAUCUGACCUUGCUUUGUGCUUUUCUGGGAAAUGACCUGUAAUAUGUUGUAAAUAAUCUAGAUGCUUACGUUUAUAAAGUAGCAAUCAGCAAUUCAUCACCUGACAAUUCCUCCAUAUAGCUAGCCUAGGAAAAUGUAAUAUUUAUUAAAACCGGAAUCAAUGUUGGAACUGCUUACUUGAGAUCUAAACACUUCCCAAUCUUUGCUAUGUUUGAAUCGAUCAAAUGCAAAUUAAAGUAUUUUCUGCUACA